CCUACGGGCGGCUGCAGUGGGGAAUAUUGGACAAUGGGGGCAACCCUGAUCCAGCCAUGCCGCGUGUGUGGAGAAGGCCCUCGGGUUGUAAAGCACUUUCAGUGAGGAAGAACGCCUGGUGGUUAAUACCCAUCAGGAAAGACAUCACUCACAGAAGAAGCACCGGCUAACUCCGUGCCAGCAGCCGCGGUAAUACGGAGGGUGCGAGCGUUAAUCGGAAUUACUGGGCGUAAAGCGCGCGUAGGUGGCUUGAUAAGCCGGUUGUGAAAGCCCCGGGCUCAACCUGGGAACGGCAUCCGGAACUGUCAAGCUAGAGUGCAGGAGAGGAAGGUAGAAUUCCCGGUGUAGCGGUGAAAUGCGUAGAGAUCGGGAGGAAUACCAGUGGCGAAGGCGGCCUUCUGGACUGACACUGACACUGAGGUGCGAAAGCGUGGGUAGCAAACAGGAUUAGAUACCCCAGUAGUC
RNAcentral lists this ribosomal RNA (465 nucleotides) under Vreelandella stevensii. Its description in RNAcentral is "partial 16S ribosomal RNA". It matches the Rfam family "Bacterial small subunit ribosomal RNA", at positions 338 to 795 of the family's 1533-position model. The record is from RNAcentral. Lineage: Bacteria; Pseudomonadati; Pseudomonadota; Gammaproteobacteria; Oceanospirillales; Halomonadaceae.